GCUGGGUGUGGUGGCGCACACCUGUAGUCCCAGCUACUUGGGAGGCUGAAGCGGGAGGAUUACUUGAGACCAGGAGGUCAAAUCUGCAGUGAGCCAUGAUCAUACCACUGCACUCCAGCCUGGGUAACAGAGCAAGACCCUGCCUCAA
Molecule: non-coding RNA, 148 nt
Filed under: Nomascus leucogenys (northern white-cheeked gibbon)
Lineage: Eukaryota; Metazoa; Chordata; Mammalia; Primates; Hylobatidae
Source: Rfam by way of RNAcentral